This 253-nucleotide ribosomal RNA is filed under the name uncultured bacterium. Its description in RNAcentral is "partial 16S ribosomal RNA". It matches the Rfam family "Bacterial small subunit ribosomal RNA", at positions 524 to 776 of the family's 1533-position model. The record is from RNAcentral.
UACGUAGGGUGCAAGCGUUGUCCGGAAUUAUUGGGCGUAAAGAGCUCGUAGGCGGUUCGUCGCGUCGGCUGUGAAAACCUGAGGCUCAACCUCAGGCCUGCAGUCGAUACGGGCGGACUUGAGUACUGCAGGGGAGACUGGAAUUCCCGGUGUAGCGGUGAAAUGCGCAGAUAUCGGGAAGAACACCCGUGGCGAAGGCGGCUCUCUGGGACGGUACUGACGCUGAGACGCGAAAGCGUGGGGAGCGAACAGG